Long non-coding RNA from Daphnia pulicaria, 846 nucleotides. RefSeq lists it as uncharacterized. The record is from RefSeq and is a predicted model, not a curated record. Lineage: Eukaryota; Metazoa; Arthropoda; Branchiopoda; Diplostraca; Daphniidae. The transcript has 2 exons.
GGAAAAGCCAAUCGUCUACGCACCGAUGCAGAGAGCGAUUCGAUGGACGUUCGACUCAAUGAGUGACUCGGAGCUUUUGACACAAAAACAUUUGAAACGAUACGAGGCAAAAGUCUUAGCUCUUGCGGAGGAUAUUGCUGACAAAGAGAAACGAAGCGUUAAGGAGAAAGCUGCAUUAGAAAAUUUGAAAAUCGAGUUAUCCGAAAGAAAGAAGCAAAUUGAAAUCCUUCGUAAACAAGUUUCGAAUAUUGAAACGAAGCGCAGAAGAUCUGAAAACGAAGCCCAACGGGCCCGAGACGAAGCCUCUAGACGGAAGAAAAAAAGAGUGUGAUGGAUGUUUGCAACCAUUUUUACAUUUGGACUGGUAUCUCCUGGUCUCAUCAUCAACAAAGGAGAACUGCAAAAAGCUGAAAGAGACUGUGAUGCUCAUCAAAGUAACGCCAACGAGCGUCGUCAAACGUCAUUCAAAUUCGAAAGCAAUUUGCGUGAUAUUUCUCUCCGCCAACGGGUCACGGAACUGUCAAUCGUGGGGACGGAAGCCAGUCUCACCUCGGUUCGAUUUGUCCUCGAUAAAUUGAAAAGCCAAGACCCGGCCAUGAGAGAAUUUGGUGAUCAAAUUCGAAACAUUACGACCUAUCUAACUGUUUGUCAAGGAAAGGUGGAAGUGAUUUAUUCCCAGCAAAAAAUUGGUCCUCUUUGAGCCGCUUCUGAAAUCAAUCGACCAACUUGUCUUGUUCUUGGCGGUUCUUGGAAUCUAACGAUGAGACCACGUCUCUCUUGGCCGAAAAGAGUAUCGUUGAAAAAAUACGGAAAUACAGGAAGAGGCAUUGAUGCGACGCUUAAAAA